RNAcentral lists this ribosomal RNA (882 nucleotides) under Amanita sp. 'williamsiae'. Its description in RNAcentral is "eukaryotic LSU rRNA". It matches the Rfam family "Eukaryotic large subunit ribosomal RNA", at positions 67 to 917 of the family's 3401-position model. Lineage: Eukaryota; Fungi; Basidiomycota; Agaricomycetes; Agaricales; Amanitaceae. The record is from RNAcentral.
AACAAGGAUUCCCUUAGUAACUGCGAGUGAAGUGGGAAAAGCUCAAAUUUGAAAUCUGGCAGUCUGAUUUUUUCAUGUUGGCUGUCCGAGUUGUAAUCUAGAGAAGUGUUACCCGCAUUGGACCAUGUAUAAGUCUCCUGGGAUGGAGCAUCAUAGAGGGUGAGAAUCCCGUCUUUGACAUGGACCGCCAGUGUGUUGUGGUGUACUUUCAAAGAGUCGAGUUGUUUGGGAAUGCAGCUCUAAAUGGGUGGUAAACUCCAUCUAAAGCUAAAUAUUGGCGAGAGACCGAUAGUGAACAAGUACCGUGAGGGAAAGAUGAAAAGUACUUUGGAAAGAGAGUUAAACAGUAUGUGAAAUUGUUGAAAGGGAAACACUUGAUGUCAGUUUAGUUAGCUAGGAUUCAACCGAGCUUUUUUUGCUAGGUGAAAUUCCUUGUCUGACAGGCCAACAUGAGUUUUGACUGUUAGAGAAAGGCAGAGGGAAUGUGGCACCUUUUGGUGUGUUAUAGCCCUGUGUCAGAUGUGGCAGUUGGGACUGAGGUAUGCAGCGUGCCGUAAGGCAGGGUUUCGACCACGUUCGCGCUUAGGAUGUUGGCGUAAUGGCAUUAAUUGACCCGUCUUGAAACACGGACCAAGGAGUCUAACAUGCAUGCGAGUAUUUGGGUGGAAUAAACCCUUGUGCGUAAUGAAAGUGAAGAUUGAGAACCCUGUCAUGGGGAGCAUUGAUGCCCGGACUUGAGCUUUUAGCGAAGGACCUGCGGUAAAGCAUGUAUGUUGGGACCCGAAAGAUGGUGAACUAUGCCUGAAUAGGGCAAAGCCAGAGGAAACUCUGGUGGAGGMUCGUAGCGAUUCUGACGUGCAAAUCGAUCGUCGAAUUUGGGUA